CUUGGUCAUUUAGAGGAAGUAAAAGUCGUMACAAGGUUUCCGUAGGUGAACCUGCGGAAGGAUCAUUAUCGAAAUAAAACUUGAGCGGSUUGUUGCUGSSCUUCUCGAGGCACGUGCACGCCUGUCAUUUUUAUCUCAUUUCUCCUCUGUGCMCCAACUGUGGGUCUGGAGUUUUUUGGUUCUUUGAUAGAGGGACUGCUCUCCAGGUCCAUGUUUCUUUUACAAUCUCUUGAAUGUGUUUUUGGAAUGUCGAAUUUGAUGUUAUAAAUACAUACMACUUUCAGCAACGGAUCUCUUGGCUCUCGCAUCGAUGAAGAACGCAGCGAAAUGCGAUAAGUAAUGUGAAUUGCAGAAUUCAGUGAAUCAUCGAAUCUUUGAACGCAUCUUGYGCUCCUUGGUAUUCUGAGGAGCAYGCCUGUUUGAGUGUCAUGAAGUUCUCAACCACAUUGAUUUGCUUUUGAUGUGGAUUGGACAUGGGAUUUGCAGGCCUUUUCUCAAGGUCUGCCUUCCUGAAAUAGAUUAGUGGUAUCKGGGCAGAGACUACUACAAGGUGUGAUAACUAUCUAUGCCUAUUGUAAAAUGCUGCACAAAACCGCUUAAAACCCCCCCAUCUGUGACCAAUUGCCUCAAAUCAG
Molecule: ribosomal RNA, 635 nt
Filed under: Inocybe calospora
Lineage: Eukaryota; Fungi; Basidiomycota; Agaricomycetes; Agaricales; Inocybaceae
Description: eukaryotic LSU rRNA
Rfam family: 5.8S ribosomal RNA (bases 276-429)
Source: RNAcentral